AACCAACAGGGAUUGCCCUAGUAACGGCGAGUGAACAGGCAAGAGCUCAGAUUUGAAAGGCACUUUUGUGCCGUUGUAUUCUGAAGUUAGGGUCCUGAGAAACGAUGCUUAAGUCUUCUGGAAAGGAGCGCCAUGGAGGGUGAUAGCCCCGUCUAGCAUUGACCUCAUAUAGGAUCUUAACAUGGAGUCGAGUUGUUUGGGAAUGCAGCUCAAAUGGGUGGUAUGCUCCAUCUAAAGCUAAAUAUCUGCGAGAGACCGAUAGUAAACAAGUACUGUGAGGGAAAGAUGAAAAGAACUUUGAAAAGAGAGUGAAAAAGUACGUGAAAUUGUUGAAAUGGAAGGGUAGGCCGCUAACCAUGUAGAGCCGUGUUUGGGGGGAAGAUAAAUGCUGUAGAAUGUAGCUCCUCGGAGUAUUAUAGAUGCAGUUCAUAUUCCCACCCGAGCGCGAGGAUCUCAGGUUCUACUAAAUGGUGGUCUACCAC
This 482-nucleotide ribosomal RNA is filed under the name Starmerella bacillaris. RNAcentral describes it as "eukaryotic LSU rRNA". It matches the Rfam family "Eukaryotic large subunit ribosomal RNA", at positions 63 to 648 of the family's 3401-position model. Lineage: Eukaryota; Fungi; Ascomycota; Dipodascomycetes; Dipodascales; Trichomonascaceae. RNAcentral also lists the same sequence under 3 other names. The record is from RNAcentral.